RNAcentral lists this unclassified non-coding RNA (378 nucleotides) under plant metagenome. Its description in RNAcentral is "partial contains 5.8S ribosomal RNA, internal transcribed spacer 2, and large subunit ribosomal RNA". The stretch from base 1 to 105 matches the Rfam family "5.8S ribosomal RNA", at positions 50 to 154 of the family's 154-position model. The record is from RNAcentral.
GAAAUGCGAUAAGUAAUGUGAAUUGCAGAAUUCAGUGAAUCAUCGAAUCUUUGAACGCACCUUGCGCUCCUUGGUAUUCCUUGGAGCAUGCCUGUUUGAGUAUCAUGAAAUCUUCAAAGUAAAUCUUUUGUUAACUCAAUUGGUUUCUACUUUGGUAUUGGAGGUCUUUGCAGCUUCACACCUGCUCCUCUUUGUUCAUUAGCUGGAUCUCAGUGUUAUGCUUGGUUCCACUCGGCGUGAUAAGUUAUCUAUCGCUGAGGACACUGUAAAAGGUGGCCAAGGUAAAUGCAGAUGAACCGCUUCUAAUAGUCCAUUGACUUGGACAAUAAUUUUAUGAUCUGAUCUCAAAUCAGGUAGGACUAGCCGCUGAACUUAAGC